RNAcentral lists this ribosomal RNA (215 nucleotides) under Salmonella enterica. RNAcentral describes it as "partial 23S ribosomal RNA". It matches the Rfam family "Bacterial large subunit ribosomal RNA", at positions 454 to 657 of the family's 2925-position model. The record is from RNAcentral. RNAcentral also lists the same sequence under 2 other names. Lineage: Bacteria; Pseudomonadati; Pseudomonadota; Gammaproteobacteria; Enterobacterales; Enterobacteriaceae.
CAUCCUCCAAGGCUAAAUACUCCUGACUGACCGAUAGUGAACCAGUACCGUGAGGGAAAGGCGAAAAGAACCCCGGCGAGGGGAGUGAAAAAGAACCUGAAACCGUGUACGUACAAGCAGUGGGAGCCCCACCACUAAGCCAGUGGUGAACUCCACAUACGCAUCCUUUGCUGAGGAUACGGUUAACGGAGCGAAAGCGACGUUCAACCGCAAAA